UAAAAAAGAAGCAAUACAGCUGCAUAGGCUAAAGCAAGAGAGCUGGCUUGGCAAAAAAUAACGGACAGAGUAAAUGCGUGUAAUCCUUCUGGAGCCACAAGAACUUUAAGCCAAGUCAAAAUGAAACACAAAAACAUUCUGCAAAAAGCUAACAGAAAGAAGACUGAAGCCCGUCUAACUGGCGGGGGGGGGGCACCACCACC
This is a long non-coding RNA of Carassius carassius (crucian carp), 203 nucleotides long. RefSeq lists it as uncharacterized. NCBI's taxonomy places the organism in Eukaryota, Metazoa, Chordata, Actinopteri, Cypriniformes, Cyprinidae. The transcript is spliced from 3 exons. The record is from RefSeq and is a predicted model, not a curated record.